RNAcentral lists this ribosomal RNA (396 nucleotides) under uncultured bacterium. RNAcentral's name for it is "partial 16S ribosomal RNA". It matches the Rfam family "Bacterial small subunit ribosomal RNA", at positions 523 to 918 of the family's 1533-position model. The record is from RNAcentral.
AUACGUAGGGAGCGAGCGUUGUCCGGAAUUACUGGGUGUAAAGGGCGUGUAGGCGGGCGAUCAAGUCAGAUGUGAAAUACCCGGGCUCAACUUGGGAGCUGCAUUUGAAACUGAACGUCUUGAGUGGUGGAGAGGAAAGCGGAAUUCCUAGUGUAGCGGUGAAAUGCGUAGAUAUUAGGAGGAACACCAGUGGCGAAGGCGGUUGUCUGGACACUAACGGACGCUGAGGCGAGAAAGCAUGUGGAGCAAACAGGAGUAGAUGCGCAGGUAGUCCACGCUGUAAAAGAUGAAUACUAGGUGUGGGGGGACUGACCGCCUCCGUGCCGCAUUUAACACAAUAAGUAUUCCACCUGGGGAAUACGAUCGCAAGAUUGAAACUCAAAGGAAUUGACGGGG